AACGAACGCUGGCGGCAGGCUUAACACAUGCAAGUCGAGCGCCCCGCAAGGGGAGCGGCAGACGGGUGAGUAACGCGUGGGAACGUACCCUUAUCUUCGGAAUAGCUCCGGGAAACUGGAAUUAAUACCGAAUGUGCCCUUUGGGGGAAAGAUUUAUCGGAUAAGGAUCGGCCCGCGUUGGAUUAGCUAGUUGGUGGGGUAAAGGCCUACCAAGGCGACGAUCCAUAGCUGGUCUGAGAGGAUGAUCAGCCACAUUGGGACUGAGACACGGCCCAAACUCCUACGGGAGGCAGCAGUGGGGAAUAUUGGACAAUGGGCGCAAGCCUGAUCCAGCCAUGCCGCGUGAGUGAUGAAGGCCUUAGGGUUGUAAAGCUCUUUCACCGGAGAAGAUAAUGACGGUAUCCGGAGAAGAAGCCCCGGCUAACUUCGUG
Molecule: ribosomal RNA, 431 nt
Filed under: uncultured bacterium
Lineage: Bacteria
Description: partial 16S ribosomal RNA
Rfam family: Bacterial small subunit ribosomal RNA
Source: RNAcentral